UACGUAGGUCCCGAGCGUUGUCCGGAUUUAUUGGGCGUAAAGGGAGCGUAGGCGGUAAUGCAAGUCAGAAGUGAAAGCCCGGGGCUCAACUCCGGGACUGCUUUUGAAACUGUGUUGCUAGAUUGCAGGAGAGGUAAGUGGAAUUCCUAGUGUAGCGGUGAAAUGCGUAGAUAUUAGGAGGAACACCAGUGGCGAAGGCGGCUUACUGGACUGUAAAUGACGCUGAGGCUCGAAAGCGUGGGGAGCAAACAGG
This 253-nucleotide ribosomal RNA is filed under the name uncultured bacterium. RNAcentral describes it as "partial 16S ribosomal RNA". It matches the Rfam family "Bacterial small subunit ribosomal RNA", at positions 524 to 776 of the family's 1533-position model. The record is from RNAcentral.